CACGCCGUAAACGAUGAGUGCUAGGUGCUGUGGGUAUUGACCCCUGCGGUGCCGCAGCUAACGCGUUAAGCACUCCGCCUGGGGAGUACGGCCGCAAGGCUAAAACUCAAAGGAAUUGACGGGGGCCCGCACAAGCGGUGGAGCAUGUGGUUCAAUUCGACGCAACGCGCAGAACCUUACCUGGGUUAAAUCCACUCGAACUUGGCAGAGAUGCCUUGGUGCCUUUCGGGGAACGAGUGAGAAGGUGC
Molecule: ribosomal RNA, 248 nt
Filed under: uncultured bacterium
Lineage: Bacteria
Description: partial 16S ribosomal RNA
Rfam family: Bacterial small subunit ribosomal RNA
Source: RNAcentral